AGCUGUUCCCCUCUGGAGGUAUAAAUUACCUUCACACUUCAUGGGCCGCGAUUUUCGCAGGCCCAUUUUUUUUGCCCAU
This 79-nucleotide small RNA is filed under the name Rhizobium sp. BK068. Its description in RNAcentral is "suhB". The stretch from base 1 to 70 matches the Rfam family "Alphaproteobacterial ar15", at positions 44 to 112 of the family's 112-position model. The record is from RNAcentral. Lineage: Bacteria; Pseudomonadati; Pseudomonadota; Alphaproteobacteria; Hyphomicrobiales; Rhizobiaceae.